AAAAGAAAAGGAUAAAGAGGAAGAGAAAGAGGAAGGAGAACAAAAAGGGAAGAAACCGAAAAAACUGCUGGACACCGUGAGAUUAUGCAACGGGGAGAUCUUCUUCAUCACAGAUGACACGGAAUGUAUCUCAGCGAAAGGCAAGACAAUACGUUGGCUGACCUUGGAUGACCUUGAGAGGCAAAUCAAGGUCAACUAUAAGGAGCUUAAGUCCAAAGGAGGCCUGAAGCAUGCGUGGGCAAGGACUAUUCACACCUACCAGGGUUCUGAGUCCGACACGGUGCUGUAUGUCGUCGGUACACCCACCCGCCACCAGAACUGGCAGCACGUGUACACGGCCGUGACGCGCGGUAAGAAGGAAGUGUAUGUGGUGACCUCACCCAGCGCUCUCAGCAAGUCUGUGCAGACCCUACCCAUCUUCAGGAACACGCUUCUGCGCAACUUCCUG
This is a long non-coding RNA of Branchiostoma floridae (Florida lancelet), 448 nucleotides long. RefSeq lists it as uncharacterized. The transcript is spliced from 3 exons. The record is from RefSeq and is a predicted model, not a curated record. Lineage: Eukaryota; Metazoa; Chordata; Leptocardii; Amphioxiformes; Branchiostomatidae.